CACCUAUAAAUACAGCCCCCUCUUCUCUCUUUACUUCCAAUAUCAGCUCACACAUUAUUGCUCUGUUUAUUUUCAUUUCAUUUCAUUUCGUUUGAUAAAAUGUAUGACAAAAUCUGUUAAGCUCAGGAGGGAUAGCGCCACUGGGUCUUUCUGCAUGUGUGUUCCCUUUUGUAUGUGUGUUGAUGUGUAAUCACUAUACGUUGCGCUAUCCAUCCUGAGUUUCAUGGAAUUUUCAUACUCUGCUGCUCUCCACAUUACUUGAACAAAUCCUACAUUCACAAUGCUGCAUGUAUCUAGAUCUUCCUCGGCACGUGUUGCUACGAGAGUCUUGUGCACUGUGAAGCUAGCAAGACUCAAGUUGAUUGUUUGGAGGUACAAGACAAUGAGGAGAAGGUAAAAACUAAUAAAGAGACAAGUAUGCAAGCCUAACAAAUGUGAAAUCCAAUGAAAUGGUAGUUUCUAUUCUGUGAAUGCAAUCUUCUUCUUUUUAUA
Molecule: long non-coding RNA, 492 nt
Organism: Daucus carota subsp. sativus
Lineage: Eukaryota; Viridiplantae; Streptophyta; Magnoliopsida; Apiales; Apiaceae
Exons: 2
Source: RefSeq, a predicted model, not a curated record